AACUACAUAAAAUAAGCUUGACAGGUAGCUGUUGUCAUAUUAAUACACGAUUCUUUGCGAUCAGUCAAGCCCACAUUAACCCAGCCAGGAAAGAGGUGAAAAACUUUCUUACUGGUCAAAUCCUAGAUCAUACUGAGAUCUGUUUACAGCAGCCUUACUCCAACGUAUCGAGUGUGUUAAAGCUCAUAUUUUUGUAUUUAACUUUACAAGGACUUUAAUGGUUGUUAAUGGCAAAAAACAGAUCAGGGCAUCCAUAUCUGUAACUGAUAUGCUGUAUAAAUCUGCUAAAUUAUUUCUUUGUUUUAUCAGUUAAUCAAUUGGCGGAUCAAUUAACAGGGAAAUUAAUAUUUUAUGAAAGUAAUGUCAGAAAAAAUCUAACGGAUAUCUCGAUUUACCUCCUACAGCUUUAAAACCCGUAUUUUUAUCAUUAAACAAGCAUUGAUUAUCUGUUAUUUAGGUUAUUUUCAUGAUAAUUACAUUAAAGAUGCUAUAAGGGAGAAAUAUGCCUCUGUAUUUCAUUAAAACUCAAUUUUCCUGCCUUUGUUUACAUUCUUCUAAUGAAUAUAACCUCUGAUGAAUGCACAUAAAAGUGUAUAAAAUGACAAUAAUAUGGCAUGCUGGCUCAUUAUGGUUUGUUUUAUCAAUAAAAUCCACAUAUCUGAGUCAUUUUUACUGUCCGAGUCAUGUUGGGACAUAAAGUUUUCUUCCUAAAGCCGCUCGAGGUGAAAUGUAAAGCCGGCUCUGUGGAGUCAUCCGAGGACACGGUAAAAAUAAUCCAUGUGGACGUUGGAAUCAACCAGCCGUAUGUGAACGCAGCGCAGCACUGAGGUGACAGGAGGCAACGCUGCUCUCUCUCUCUCUCUCUCUCUCUCUCACUAUAGUAUCGCCAUGGCAACAUGCCCAACGCUCUGAAGUCGCCUAGCAACAGCGGCAGGCUAUAACGAGGGAUGAACAUGGCUGCCGCCAAAAAAAAAGAAAAAAAGACACAACCCCCAUGACUGUUCGAGAGAGCAGCUGAUCCGGGCCGCCAGAUUAGAUGGGAUGAAAAUGGAAAUUCAGUACCAACACAUCUGACACCGACUGGACUGAAAUACAUCACAGAUUUCGAUGCUUCAUUUCGGUACCCCUCCACCCCAAUGCCACCCCCUGCUGCUCCAAUUGAAAGACUCUGCUCACCCUGACUGACCCCAAGAGGAAACACGAGGACACUGCAGCAGGAAGAGGAGGGACAAAGAAAGGCUAAAAAGACUUUUAAAUGGGAAAAUACUUUUGUAACAUGAAGCAUAUUUCUAAUUUCUGAUACUUAAAACACCACUGUAGUAACAAAAAUAUU
This is a long non-coding RNA of Cheilinus undulatus (humphead wrasse), 1333 nucleotides long. RefSeq lists it as uncharacterized. The transcript has 3 exons. Lineage: Eukaryota; Metazoa; Chordata; Actinopteri; Labriformes; Labridae. The record is from RefSeq and is a predicted model, not a curated record.